GACGAACGCUGGCGGCAUGCCUAACACAUGCAAGUCGAGCGCGCAGAUCCCUUCGGGGUGAAGCUAGCGGCGGACGGGAGAGUAACACGUGGGCAACCUGCCUCAUAGAGGGGAAUAGCCUUCCGAAAGGAAGAUUAAUACCGCAUACGAUUGUAGCUUCGCAGGAAGUAGCAAUUAAAGGAGCAGUCGGCUAUGGGAUGGGCCGGCGGCGCAUUAGCGAGUUAGUGGGGUAACGGCCUACCAAGGCGACGAUCCGUAGCUGAUCUUAGAGGAUGAUCAGCCACACUGGGACGGAGCCACGGCCCAGACUCCUACGGGAGGCAGCAGUGGGGAAUCUUGGACAAUGGGCGCAAGCCGGAUCCAGCCAUGCCGCGUGAGUGAAGAAGGUCUUCGGAUUGUAAAGCUCUUUUGCCAGGGACGAUAAUGACGGUACCUGGAGAAUAAGCCCCGGCAAACUUCGUGCCAGCCGCCGCCGUAA
This 478-nucleotide ribosomal RNA is filed under the name uncultured bacterium. RNAcentral's name for it is "partial 16S ribosomal RNA". It matches the Rfam family "Bacterial small subunit ribosomal RNA", at positions 28 to 523 of the family's 1533-position model. The record is from RNAcentral.